UAAUUGAAGAGUUUGAUCAUGGCUCAGAUUGAACGCUGGCGGCAGGCCUAACACAUGCAAGUCGAGCGGCAGCACAGAGAA
This 81-nucleotide ribosomal RNA is filed under the name Vibrio vulnificus. RNAcentral describes it as "partial 16S ribosomal RNA". It matches the Rfam family "Bacterial small subunit ribosomal RNA", at positions 1 to 81 of the family's 1533-position model. The record is from RNAcentral. Lineage: Bacteria; Pseudomonadati; Pseudomonadota; Gammaproteobacteria; Vibrionales; Vibrionaceae.